CCCAAACGCUCUCCUCCUCACUUUGUUUUUCUUUCCGUCUCCUACUAAUCUCUUGCUUCCCCCCCUCACAUCUCCCCAAAUCCAAUCACUUCCUGGGUGCAACUACAGUCCCCACACCUCCGUCUGCUUCCACCCCCACCCCCACCCCGAGAAAAAGCAGGGACUAAGCGCAAGUUUCUGCAAAGGCAGGACGAAAGGGUGAAAACUGAGGGGGGAGACAAACGGAGAACAACCCUCGCCCACCCCCACCCGCGGGAAUUGCACUAACACUAGCAGGGCGGGGAGGCGAGAGAGCGCAGGGUCUUGUGCCCCCCCCCAACGGCUCGUGACUCCGGCUGCCGCCUUCGCUGCUGUUUCUAUGCCUCGCCUACAGCCGCAGCACGGGCCACGCAGGCGCCUUCCCCUUUCUCACCGCACCCGGAACGGCUUUCCCCGGUCCUCCGCCGCCACCGAACCGAAGGCGAGCGAGCGAGCGGCUUAAAAUGGCGUCGCUCACAAGGAGCUUCUUAUAGCGAGUGCAGGAACUCGACUGUAUCCUGCCGCCGCCUCGCCGGGCCGCGCGCGUAGCAUUCCACAGGCAACCCACCCAACGGCGCGCAGAGCACGGGGAGGGGAGCAAAUAAAAAAAAGGGGGUGGAGAAAUAGUGCCCCUCCACUCUGACUUUCCCUUUCCUCGUGCGCGCGCACACACUUCCCACCCGGCGGAGGGAGAUAAACGGGAGAGAUUCUUCCUCGACUCUGGCGGCGGAGUUUCGAGAAGAAGAGGAAUUGUGGGAACGGGGAAGGGGAGGGGGGAAGCAGGCUAAGCUGUGGAGGAAGAGAAGGCAGGAUGCGUGCAGGGAUUCAGCCUAGAGUGGAGGUGUGAUGAGGCCCGGGGUGGGGAGAGUUGAGCUCGAGAGAGACAGAGAGAGAGAGAGAGACCUUUUUCUGGAGGCCAGGAAGCGCGUUCACGCAGCCUGGAAAACGGGAAACAGGGCGAGAAAGUCGGCAGCUGGAGGGUUGCAGACUACGCUUUUCUUAAAGGUUUGCAUCCAGCAAAAGGGAAGAAAGAGACUUUCCAUGGCUCCUCGCCCCAGUUAUUCAAACCGGCGCCCUCAGUGGGAGUAUGGCUCGAGGCUUUCCCUGCGGGCGUCCAGCCCUCUGGUAUCUCCCCCGGGAACAAAAGAAUCUCACAGAAAACCUGUUUCUUGGGGUUUUGGUUCUUUCCUCUUCCCCGCACCCCGGUCCCGUCUUUGCUGCUGGAGGCUAAACCUGCCUGCUUCGCUCCGACAGCCACUCCUUAAAAUUUAA
Molecule: long non-coding RNA, 1290 nt
Filed under: Pogona vitticeps (central bearded dragon)
Lineage: Eukaryota; Metazoa; Chordata; Lepidosauria; Squamata; Agamidae
Description: lncRNA (ENSPVIG00000007295.1)
Source: RNAcentral